RNAcentral lists this ribosomal RNA (1300 nucleotides) under Bacillus pumilus. RNAcentral describes it as "partial 16S ribosomal RNA". It matches the Rfam family "Bacterial small subunit ribosomal RNA", at positions 166 to 1504 of the family's 1533-position model. Lineage: Bacteria; Bacillati; Bacillota; Bacilli; Caryophanales; Bacillaceae. The record is from RNAcentral.
CUUUUUGAGGCCCCCCACCCGAAAAAAUUUUGUGUGGUGUAUUAUUUCGGGGGAAGGGCCCCCGUGUGGCCCUCUCAGGGGGGUACCGGGCAGCGCGGCGGGCCCACACGGGCCAGGGAAUUUGGCCGAGUUCCCCCCGGGAGCCCCUGUUGGCAUUUUCCGAAAUGGAAGAAGUCCGCCGGAGCAACGCCGGAUGAUGUAUGAAGUUUUACGAUUGUUAAGGUUUGUUGUCAAGAACGACAAGUGCGAGAGUAACUGCUUGCACCUUGACCGUACCUAACCAGAAAGCCACGGCUAACUACGUGCCAGCAGCUGCGGUAAUACGUAGGUGGCAAGCGUUGUCUGAAUUAUUGGGCGUAAAGGGCUCGCAGGCGGUUUCUUAAGUCUGAUGUGAAAGCCCCCGGCUCAACCGGGGAGGGUCAUUGGAAACUGGGAAACUUGAGUGCAGAAGAGGAGAGUGGAAUUCCACGUGUAGCGGUGAAAUGCGUAGAGAUGUGGAGGAACACCAGUGGCGAAGGCGACUCUCUGGUCUGUAACUGACGCUGAGGAGCGAAAGCGUGGGGAGCGAACAGGAUUAGAUACCCUGGUAGUCCACGCCGUAAACGAUGAGUGCUAAGUGUUAGGGGGUUUCCGCCCCUUAGUGCUGCAGCUAACGCAUUAAGCACUCCGCCUGGGGAGUACGGUCGCAAGACUGAAACUCAAAGGAAUUGACGGGGGCCCGCACAAGCGGUGGAGCAUGUGGUUUAAUUCGAAGCAACGCGAAGAACCUUACCAGGUCUUGACAUCCUCUGACAACCCUAGAGAUAGGGCUUUCCCUUCGGGGACAGAGUGACAGGUGGUGCAUGGUUGUCGUCAGCUCGUGUCGUGAGAUGUUGGGUUAAGUCCCGCAACGAGCGCAACCCUUGAUCUUAGUUGCCAGCAUUUAGUUGGGCACUCUAAGGUGACUGCCGGUGACAAACCGGAGGAAGGUGGGGAUGACGUCAAAUCAUCAUGCCCCUUAUGACCUGGGCUACACACGUGCUACAAUGGACAGAACAAAGGGCUGCGAGACCGCAAGGUUUAGCCAAUCCCAUAAAUCUGUUCUCAGUUCGGAUCGCAGUCUGCAACUCGACUGCGUGAAGCUGGAAUCGCUAGUAAUCGCGGAUCAGCAUGCCGCGGUGAAUACGUUCCCGGGCCUUGUACACACCGCCCGUCACACCACGAGAGUUUGCAACACCCGAAGUCGGUGAGGUAACCUUUAUGGAGCCAGCCGCCGAAGGUGGGGCAGAUGAUUGGGGGAAGUCGAACCAAGGUUGCCUGG